UGGGAGAGCUCAGUUGGUACAGCAUGAGACUCUUAAUCUCAAGGCCAUGGGUUCAAGCCCCAUGUUGGGAAAAG
This is a non-coding RNA of Podarcis lilfordi (Lilford's wall lizard), 74 nucleotides long. Lineage: Eukaryota; Metazoa; Chordata; Lepidosauria; Squamata; Lacertidae. The record is from the annotation of a GenBank genome assembly.